UCGCCGAUGCCGCGGGGAAGCAACCGGCGUCCGAUGCCGGGCUGGUCGCCGUGCUGAAGACCUUGCGGUUCGCGCCCGCGCUGGCGGC
RNAcentral lists this transfer RNA (88 nucleotides) under Lacunisphaera limnophila. RNAcentral describes it as "tRNA-Arg". Lineage: Bacteria; Pseudomonadati; Verrucomicrobiota; Opitutia; Opitutales; Opitutaceae. The record is from RNAcentral.